RNAcentral lists this unclassified non-coding RNA (305 nucleotides) under Hevea brasiliensis (rubber tree). The record is from RNAcentral. Lineage: Eukaryota; Viridiplantae; Streptophyta; Magnoliopsida; Malpighiales; Euphorbiaceae.
UUUCUAUUUCAUUGGAUGAUAAUAAACAAUAUCAGAAGUAAUACAACAUGGAAUUGCAUAGGAAAUUCCAAAGAAUUAGGAUGCUUAAUUUGGAUACAUAACUAACGAGGAAGAGGAAAAUUAAGAUUGAUUUCACGUACAACAAUUUCCUUUCUGUAGGCUUUAGGGGAUUGUACAAUUCUGUAAUCUCCAACCAAAGAUUUGUGAGUUACUGUCACUUGCCAAAUCAAGAAACACAAUGUAGCAGCAUCGUAUACGUGUCUCGACCACGGCAACAAAAAAAAAAAAAAGGAAAAAAAAAAUCA